Non-coding RNA from Odocoileus virginianus texanus, 324 nucleotides. NCBI's taxonomy places the organism in Eukaryota, Metazoa, Chordata, Mammalia, Artiodactyla, Cervidae. The record is from RefSeq and is a predicted model, not a curated record.
CCCAACCCAGGGAUCAAACCCAGGUCUUCGACACUACAGAUCUCCUGGAGGAAGCUUCCUUAAUCCUAGAAUUCUGGUCUCCAUGUUGCUUUACUGCCCUUAAAGAUUACAAGGAGUGAAGAAGAUGGUGAAGUAGAAGGAUGCACACUCAUCUUCUCCUGCAAGAACACCAAAAUCACAACUAGCUGCUGAACAACCAUCAACAGGAGAAUGUUGGAUCCCACCAAGAAAAGGUACCCUGUGUCCAAGGGCAAAUGAGAAACCACAACAAAAUGGUAGGAGGGGUGAAAUCACAUUUAGAAUCAAACCUCAGACCUACCAGAG